This 463-nucleotide ribosomal RNA is filed under the name uncultured bacterium. RNAcentral describes it as "bacterial SSU rRNA". It matches the Rfam family "Bacterial small subunit ribosomal RNA", at positions 30 to 506 of the family's 1533-position model. The record is from RNAcentral.
GCGAACGCUGGCGGCAUGCCUAACACAUGCAAGUCGCACGGGUGGGUUUCGGCCCAUCAGUGGCGGACGGGUGAGGAACGCGUAGGGAUCUGUCCUUUGGUGGGGGAUAACCGCGGGAAACUGCGGCUAAUACCGCAUGGGGCGCGCGGGUGAGACCGUGCGUCAAAGGCGCGCGCCGCGAGGCGUGUGUCGCCGGGGGGUGAGCCUGCGUCCGAUUAGCUCGUUGGCGGGGUAGUGGCCCACCAAGGCUUCGAUCGGUAGCUGGUCUGAGAGGGUGAUCAGCCACACCGGGACUGAGACACGGCCCGGACUCCUACGGGAGGCAGCAGUGGGGAAUAUUGGACAAUGGGCGCAAGCCUGAUCCAGCAAUGCCGCGUGGGUGAAGAAGGUCUUCGGAUUGUAAAGCCCUUUCGGCGGGGACGAUUGUGACGGUACCCGCAGAAGAAGCCCCGGCUAACUUCGU